UACGUAGGGGGCUAGCGUUGUCCGGAAUCAUUAGGCGUAAAGCGCGUGUAGGCGGCCCGGUAAGUCCGCUGUGAAAGUCGGGGGCUCAACCCUCGAAUGCCGGUGGAUACUGUCGGGCUCGAGUGCGGAAGAGGUGAGUGGAACUCCGAGUGUAGAGGUGAAAUUCGUAGAUAUUCGGAAGAACACCAGUGGCGAAGGCGGCUCACUGGUCCGGUACUGACGCUGAGGUGCGAAAGCGUGGGGAGCAAACAGG
Molecule: ribosomal RNA, 253 nt
Filed under: uncultured bacterium
Lineage: Bacteria
Description: partial 16S ribosomal RNA
Rfam family: Bacterial small subunit ribosomal RNA
Source: RNAcentral